AGUUCAGCUGGUUAGAAUACCUGCCUGUCACGCCGGGGGUCGCGGGUUCGAAUCCCGUC
Molecule: transfer RNA, 59 nt
Filed under: Candidatus Ignatzschineria merdigallinarum
Lineage: Bacteria; Pseudomonadati; Pseudomonadota; Gammaproteobacteria; Cardiobacteriales; Ignatzschineriaceae
Description: tRNA-Asp
Rfam family: tRNA
About the family: Transfer RNA (tRNA) molecules are approximately 80 nucleotides in length. Their secondary structure includes four short double-helical elements and three loops (D, anti-codon, and T loops).
Source: RNAcentral